RNAcentral lists this ribosomal RNA (582 nucleotides) under uncultured fungus. RNAcentral describes it as "eukaryotic LSU rRNA". The stretch from base 215 to 368 matches the Rfam family "5.8S ribosomal RNA". Lineage: Eukaryota; Fungi. The record is from RNAcentral.
AUUUAGAGGAAGUAAAAGUCGUAACAAGGUCUCCGUUGGUGAACCAGCGGAGGGAUCAUUACAGAGUUAUCCAACUCCCAAACCCAUGUGAACAUAUCUCUUUGUUGCCUCGGCGCAAGCUACCCGGGACCUCGCGCCCCGGGCGGCCCGCCGGCGGACAAACCAAACUCUGUUAUCUUCGUUGAUUAUCUGAGUGUCUUAUUUAAUAAGUCAAAACUUUCAACAACGGAUCUCUUGGUUCUGGCAUCGAUGAAGAACGCAGCGAAAUGCGAUAAGUAAUGUGAAUUGCAGAAUUCAGUGAAUCAUCGAAUCUUUGAACGCACAUUGCGCCCUUUGGUAUUCCAAAGGGCAUGCCUGUUCGAGCGUCAUUUGUACCCUCAAGCUUUGCUUGGUGUUGGGCGUCUUGUCUCUAGCUUUGCUGGAGACUCGCCUUAAAGUAAUUGGCAGCCGGCCUACUGGUUUCGGAGCGCAGCACAAGUCGCACUCUCUAUCAGCAAAGGUCUAGCAUCCAUUAAGCCUUUUUUUCAACUUUUGACCUCGGAUCAGGUAGGGAUACCCGCUGAACUUAAGCAUAUCAAUAAG